Molecule: long non-coding RNA, 10966 nt
Filed under: Lathyrus oleraceus (garden pea)
Lineage: Eukaryota; Viridiplantae; Streptophyta; Magnoliopsida; Fabales; Fabaceae
Description: Pisum sativum (pea) long non-coding RNA (PSAT_LNC003123)
Source: RNAcentral
UUUUUUACAAUCAUCACGCUUCUAGCUACUAGGAGACCGGGCUACCUCAACUGCCAUUGUUCCAUCACUUGCUCUCCGAUUGGCACGUGUCUGGUUAUCCUUUCAACCAUUAAUGUUUGAAGUGAACCGCUUCCACUUUGCUCAUCUAUAAAUAUAGAAUACCACAUUUCUUCAACUUUUUCCACUCUAAAACUUCUCUUAACAAAGAAAAAGUUCCUCUUAAACUCUUCAUAUUCCACAAAACAAAACCUAGUUUUUCUCUCUUCAAAUCCACUACAUCAAUGGCGUCUUCUACCAAAACUAAUAAAGAUUCAACAAAGGCCACAAAAGAGUCAAAGAAAUCAUCUGGUCUUGCUCCAGUUCACAAAGUAUUAGGACCAAACACUGUGGGUAACCAACAAUACAUACCCGAGCCUCCACUUGCUGAAGAAAAAAGAAUAAUCUACCAAUUGCAGGUAUUAAUUCCUAUUUCUAUUUCUGGUAAAACGCAUGCUAUGUUAGGACCCUUAUCAUAUACAACUGCAAAUCUUGAUAGCCUCAUGUAAUUUUUCCCAACAUACCAUCGUUACAAACCCAUAGAUAAUGGGAAGAAACCUAGGGCUAGUGAUGAAAUUGAAACUGCUGAAAACCCACAUCCUGACAACCAAAGUACGCCUUCGAUAGAAAAACCCAUAGACCAAGACUAUAUGAACAAUGGUUUUAGGGUAUUUCGAUCUUGACCUUUAUUCAAGGAUCCCUCAUAUUAUCUAGGCUGGUUAAGAAAUAUAGAAAAUAAGAAAUCCCAAGUCUGGAUAAACAUGGGUAUCUUCGACAUGAUUCAAUUGUCGAAGGUUGGACCUGGGUAUUUCCAGACUAUGUUAGUUUCUUCUUUGUAUUUUUGGGAUAACACCCACAACAAUUUUCAUUUUCCUUGUGGUAUGAUGACACCCACACUUUUCGACAUCGCUACUAUCAUUAGGCUCAAACCAACUGGGGAAACUUAUGAUCCAAACCUUAUGGCUGAAGAUACCAUUUUUUCGACACUACUAAAGUUUCUUUCACCACUUACAUAACAUUCUACCAUGAUAAAAACUUUUUCGAAGUAUCUGACCAAAAACACAUUUCUUUUCUCACCCUCUGGCUGUCUCGCUUCGUAUUUUGCUCAAAGUCUCUUCAAGUAGAAAAGAAAUUCCUAACUAUGGCGAACCAACUUCAUGAUGGACAUAACCUUUGUCUCAACAAAAUGAUCUUGGGCAACCUGUAUGAGUCCCUAGGGGAAGGUGCAACAACUCUCAAGAACAUUUAACCCAAAGGAAACCUACUAUUUUCUGGUCCUUUAUGGCUGCUACAACUAUGGUUGAAUGCUACCUCCAAAGCAUCUUUGCCAAUUCGAAAUCCCAUAAAUGCAGAGGCUGAAGAGAUUAGAAAUAUAAGGGUCGAAGGAACGCGCCUUGGUCUGCUGACUCCCAAUGACGAAGGAAUGAAUAUGCAACAAACAUUCACUGGCUAUGUAAUAAUGUUCACUAAACGCUAUAACUUCACUCCAUCCAUGACUCAUUUCACCCACAGGAUGCAUGGCCCUGAGUGGUUCAUAAGAAAGUUACUUGCUUCAUCGAAAGACCAAGAAGUGGAAUCCCUUGUCAUCUGGGAGGCAUCUCUCACCCCUAGGUUACUACUAACCAGGUUCAGGCAAUCGAGGAACCAAUUCACCCUCGUGAGCUACCAACCCAAUCUUGUCUCUCGAUAAUUUAGACUUAUUCAAAUUAUGCCAGAACCAUUAUUCGCCAAAAAGAACUCCCUCAUCCUCUACAAUAUGAUACAUACAUAAGCCCAAAGUGACAAGCUAAUAGCUUGAUACUCAGGAAAACACAAAUUACUCAUGUUGCAUUCAAGCCAUACUUUCUUUGCACCCAAUAGUUUGAUACUUGGUGGAGAAAUUAUUACACUGAAGAAGUUUUCGAUGUUUUUGCUUUUACUCAACAUUUGACUAAAGCUUUUACCUCUGUAAAGGAUAACGCCAAGAAAGGUACUUCAACUCAUGUCAAAGAAAUCCAAGCAUUACUAAGGUACUUUGAAACUGCAUAUAUACUUGAUGAUCUUAGUCGAACCAUUCUUGAAGCAGCAGUUACUAUAAAAGAGAAAAUUUCAAAGAAAAUGGAGAAUUUAAAACUGCAUUCGCUUGUUAAACUUGAAUAAUGGUAUGAACUAGCUUUUAACAUGCAUCCCCUAGAAUUUACUUGACUUCCCGGUGCUGACUUCGGUGUGGCUUUUAUCCAUUUGUUCCCAAACUAGUUCAUCUAUGGGGAUUUUGUAAAAAUCAUUCGACAAGAAUCACAAAAACGUGUCCAACGAGUGGUUCCGACUAAGCAUACUCUGGAAAGUUUCAAAGGACAUCUUCAUAUUGGCAUAUAACAUGUUUGCAUAGAGUCUCCAAUAUACGAAAGUGUGGAGUGGGAGGUUCUUCGACUUUAUUUCUCAAUUCCUUAAUUUUCUCUUAUUUGUGAUAGUUAUCUUGGUUUUAUUUCAACUGUGAAAAUACCUGCCAAGAAAGUUACUUCCACAAACAAAGAUGUCGUCAAAGAGAAAGAUGAAGGAAACACCAACAAAAUAAUAACAACAAAGAUACACUCAAUAUAUUGUUUUUUGUGCAUUGCCUUCAUGUCUUUUUAUUGUUUUGAGACGUCUUUUCUAUCAGGCAAGUCGAAAACCACCACCAACGCCCAAAAACGAAAGCAAAGGGAACCCCAAGUUCAAAUGACCAAAUUAGACGAUGAUGAUCUCUCACCGGAUACCACAAAACCAACCAAGAAGAAAAAGAAGCCAAUAAAGACCUUUGAUGCUCUUUCCCAACAAAAAAUAAAAGUUGCCAAGACCCCAACGAAGAUAACUUCUACUCCAAGGGUAUCUUUCCCUGACCCUGAACCACAAUAAAAAAGGACUCUGGAACAACUUGAAAGCGACAAUUCCAGCCUUGGGGCUGAAGGUCCUAAGGUAAAAAAAACUUUACCUUAAUUUCUUAAGUUAUUAAUUAUUUCUUUUGGUUUCCGACUCAUCCAUGUUUGAUUUAUUUUUUCAGGGGGUCGCAAAUGGCACAAAGCAACCAAACACCAAACAAGUAAUCCCAGUAAGCAGUAGUGAUCAUUCUUAUCACCCCACCAACACUCCCUCUUAUCACCCCACUAUCACUCCCUUUAAUCAUCCAACAUAUCCCAAAGAUUCGACAAAAGAGUCUACAGAUGAAGUGGACAAGCUUAUUUAAGAAAUGCAAAAGGAUCAUACCAAUGAUUAUGAGCAUGAGGAUGAAAAGGAGAAAAAUGCCCAUGUUGAGGGGGGAGUGAAUGAGGAGAUGCAGAAUGUUGACGAUGUGUCAAAGACAUAUCUGAAGAUGACUAUUCAACAAUUACAAACCCAGGAACUGAUGGUCCAGAUGACGAAGAAGAAGAGGAUCAUUAUAUGUCCAACCUUCACACGAAGCCUGCUGAGGAUGAAGAUGAGGAACAAGAUAAUGAACCAGAGAAUGAGCAAAACAAAGACAUGCCCAAGACCAACCCAACUUCUGAUGCUGCCAAAAGGACCAUAACACCUUCGACCAGAAACACUGCUGCCCUCUCUCUAGAAGAGUUCCAAGCGCUGAAAAAGAGAAAACCAGUGGAAUACCUGAAAGCCAUUAUCAAUGUAAGGGGUAGCUCGACUAAGAAAAGCCCUAGUACUUCAACAAUGUCAGGUGGCCAAUCUAUAAGCAAAUAUGGUGAUUAAUUAUUCCUCAAAAUCAAAGAAAAAGCCUUUGACAUUGAUCUGUUCCAACUCUUGGAGAAAGACACUACUGCUUGCUUUGGGAUCAAAGAUCUUUUAAAAUAAGUGUACGUCUUGAAUGCUUCCCUAGAAGUUGAAAAUGUUAUCAUGGAUUUAGGGUUGUUAAUCGAUCAAGUUGUUGCAAAAAUUAAUCGUAUAAGGGAAGCUUCGAACAAAAUCCAAAAUAAAUUAGAGACCCAAGCAGCCGAAUGGGACACCGCCAUCGAAUCUACUACAAAAGUUACAGAAUUGGAGAAGGGUUCUGAGCAGAACCAAAAGGAGGUUGAAGCUUGUGACAAAAAUAUAGAAGCUUGGGAGAAACAUAUAAAGAAAUUGCAAGCCAAGACUACCAAGACCAAAGAGUGCAAAGAUGAACUUCAAAAGCUUGAUCAAGAUGAACUGACCAAGGAAAUCCAAGUUGGCAUGCAUCACGUCGAAAGGUCUCAAAAAUUGGAAAAGGAAUUUGCCGACCUCAUUUCAAACAAAUUUGUUUAUGAACGACGCUUGAGACUUUAAAAGUCGAAGCACCGACCUAUAAUUUUCCAAAUAUUUCCUGUUUACUCUUAGGACUAUUCGUUCUUCAUUUAAUUUUUCAAUCUUGUAUGCGCCGUUAGAAAAGACUUGGAUAAUUUACCCACUUAGGGGACCAUUUACGCAAUGCUAUGUCGUUUGGAUCCAUGGGUAGGAUUACUUUCCAAACUAAGUCUUCAAGCGAAAAUGUUUUAAGUUUCACCCUUUUAUUGUAUGCUUUCUCUACUCUCUUUUUCUGCCUCUUUAAUAAAUGGAAGGCUUUUAACCAUUCUUCGUCUAAAUCAACUAACUCGUCCAACAUCAUGUUCCAAUAAGAUUAAGAUGGCAUCUCAUUUUGCCUUUGGACUCUUGUUGAUUGAAGAUAGAUUUUGACUGGUAACACUGCGUCAUGACCAUAUAUCAGUCGAAAAAGGCUUAUUAUUUGUAGCCUCUUUAAGGGAGGUUUAACAUGCCCAUAAAAUAUGGUCCAAUGCCUUAUGCCAAUUCCUUGGCUUUUCCCCAUGUGUUUCUUAAUUAAUCCAAUAACUACCUUAUUUGUUGCUUCGACUUGACCAUUUACCUGAGGAUAAUAAGGUGUAGAUGUCAAUAGCUUGAACCUCAUUUCUUUCGCAAACUCCUGAACCUUUCGACUAGUGAAAACUGAUCCUUGAUCAGUUGUAAUAGUUUAUAGGAUUCCAAACCAAUAAAUGAUGUGCCUUUGGAUGAAUUCGGUAAAUGCCUCUUGAUUAACAUUCGCCAAAGGUAUAACUUCAAUCCAUUUAGUGAAAUAAUAUAUACCCACUAUAAUGUACCUUUGAAUCUUAGAUGAUGCUGGUCGAAUUUCUCCAACUAGAUCCAACGCCCAACCUCUAAAAGGCCAAGGCUUCACAAUGGAGUGUAGUUCAUUUGCAGGGACAUGUUAUAUGCCUGCAUGUGUCUGGCACUCUUGGCUCCCUUUAGAUAACUCAAUACAAUCCUUAAGCAUGGUAGGCCAAUACAUCCCUUGUCGAAACAAUAACCAUUUCAUCUCAUGGCAUAUCUGACGUGCCCCACUAUGGACAAUAGAGAGAGCUAAACAUGCUUUUGAUUUGCUAAGGCACUCGAGUAAAACUCCUUUAGGCAUUUUUUAAAAUAAUUUGUUCCCCAUAAAAUAUAACUUAAAGCGCGAUACCUGACUUUUCAUUCAGCAGAUGUUCUUGGAUUUUCUAAGUAUUCCACUAUUGGCUUUCUCCAAUCUUCGUCUGCCAAACUGUCUAUGACUAGUAUCUCAAAAUUCUCUUCGUCAACAUACCAUAACUUUGUUGUUUCCAAAUCUGUUGGGAAUAAUCUAGUUGAUACAACUCUUCCUCUGACUUCGAUUGCAUCUUACAGUUUUUCUUUUGAAAUUAUGUAUCCUAAAGCAAUUUGGGCCAAGUCAUUGGCCUCUUGGUUCUCAAGUCGAGGUAUGUGUCGAAUGCUUAUCAUUUUGGACCUUCAUAAUAGUCUUUACCUAUUACAGAGUACAUUAUAAGAUUUUCUUUAACACACGUAUACUCCUUUGUUAUUUCUUUUAUGAAUAACUUUGAGUCACCCAUUAUUUCGACUCGAGUUUCCCCCAAUUCCAACAAGAUCUCAAGUCCGACUAUCAAAGCCUCAUAUUCAGCCUCGUUGUUUGAAUAAAGGCCUUUGACCCUGUACUUGAAUUUUAUUGGGAUUUUGUUAGGAGAAAUAAUCAAUACCCCCACACCCCUUUCAUCUUUAUGACUAGAACCAUCAAAGUAUAAUUUCCAAGGUUCAAGCUUGAGAUAAUUUAGGGAGUUUUCGACUAUAGAGUGGUCGAUUAUAAAGUCUGUUAUCACUUGUCCCUUAACAGCCUUUAAAGGCAUGUAAGUUGAAGAAUACUCAGUUAAGGCCAAUGUCCAUUUACCGAUUCAACUAUGUAAAAUUGGUUUCGAUAACAUAUGUUUAAUAGUGUCGGAGUGAGAUGAAACAUAAACAUCAAAUGGCUUUAUAUAAUGCUUCAAUUUUGUAAAUGAGCAAUAUAGACAUAGACAUAACUUUUUGACGGUACUAUAUCUAGUUUCUGCAUCAUUUAAGACUCUACUGAGGUAGUAAAUGGCUCUUUCAAGGUCAUUUGCAUCCUCUUGAGCCAACAUGCUCCCUAAAGUCAUAUCAUAUGCAAAUAUGUACAAUCUCAUACUUCUAUUCAUACAAGGAGGCGCCAGAAUUAGAGGAUGAACAAGGUAGUCUUUGAUCUUGAUGAAAGCCUAUUGUUGCACUUGCCCCUGUUCAAAACCUUCCUUCUUGAGUCGAGGUAGAGAUGAUAAGGCUUAAGUCUUGCCACUUAAGUUUGAGAUGAACCUCCUAAGGAAGUUGAUCUUUCCUAACAACGAUUGUGGUUCCUUCUUCGUUGAUGACGCUUUCGCUUCCAUUAUGGACUUAGUCUUGUUUUGAUUAAUUUCGAUUCCUUUCUUAUAGACCAUAAAGCCUAGAAAAUCCCCAGUCUGCACACAAAAAGCAUAUUUAAGAGGAUUCAUCUUUAGACCAUGUUUCCUCAUUCUUUCGAAUGAUUAUCGAAGAUGGUCUAUAUGACUUCUUUCUGAAAUAGACUUGACCACAAUAUCAUAAAUAUAAAUUUGCAUGAAAGUUUCAAUGAAGUCAUGAAAUAUAGAGUUCAUUGCUCUUUGAUAAGUUGCCCUAACAUUUUUUAGGCCAAAGGGCAUAAUCACCCAUUUAUAGGUGCCUAAGGCGUUGGGGCAUCGAAAUGCCAUUUUUGGCACAUCUUCGUCAGCAAUGAAAAUAUGGUUAUACCCAGAAUAUUCGUCAAGCAUACUAAGAUAUUUGUGCAUUGAGGCCGAAUUAACAAGCAUUUCUGCUACGGGCAUUGGAUAUCCAUCCUUUAGGGUUACAACAUUCAAAUCUCUGAUGUCAAUGCAAACCGUCAGAGUGUUAUUUUUCUUAAUGACUGGUAUAAUGUUAGCAGUCCAUUCGACAUACCUGGUCGUACGAAUGAAACUGCAGUUGAGAAGCCUCUCGACUUCUUCCUUGAUUUUCAAAAGAAUUUCAGGUGCGAAACCCCUUGGAGUUUGUUUGAUUGGCUUCUUCCUAAGCUUUAUAGGAAACUUUAAUUUGACCAGUUCCAUACUUAGACCCGACAUCUCAUCGUAAUCCUAGGCAAAAUAGUCUUUGUACUCCUCCAACAACCGGAUUACUUCGACCUUGAGUUUUGGGCUGACGUUGGCACUUAUGUAUGUUAGCCUUUUGGUUGCCCCAUCUCCCAUAUUGAUUUCUUCUAGCAUCUUUAUUUCAUUUGCCAUCAGAUCCUUUUUGAAACCCAAAGGCUCAUCAUUAUAAAUUGCAUCGAGCCUUUGGCCUUGCACUUCGUCUUGAACCUUAUCAGGUGGUUUUGGCUUGAAGUCCUUACCAGGACCUUCUAAGUGCACUUCAUUCCUUUUGGAUUCAACAAACAUGUAUUUGACUUCAGCCUUUAAGGUCUCUUUUAAUUUGUUUUUGACUAUAUAAGCCGAAAUCUUUUUCAAUGUCUUUGAUUCAGACAUCGUCAUCAAAUUCACUUCCCUAACCAGUUGGUUGGAUUCAUUAUGUUCCUUCGAAUCCCAAAUCUUCCUCACCUACUACCUCACUAUCCCAUUGGAAACCAUGGGUUAUGUAUAGAUAAAGGGAACAAAACGUGUUAUCAAUUGGCGUAAAGUCGAACACUGUAGGAUUGCAAGGUGCAAUGUGUGCCAGGUGUUUGUCAAAGUGCCUUCUAUCCACCUGGUUGACUUUCUUCAUGUAAUAACUUUGGUCUGCUUCUAUAUUAUCCAUUAUUCCAUCGUUUCGCCAGACUGAAAUUCGUCGAUGUAGUGAAGAAAGGACUGCACCGAUACCACGGAUCCUUUCUUGACCUAAAAGUAGAUUAUAAUUGGCAUUUGAUGCUAUGACCAUAAACAUAGUCAGCCUUGUGAUGAUGCCAACUGUGAGGUCCACUUGAAUUACCCCCAUUGUAGUACUAACCUUCCCCUCAUAGUUCGAUAGAACCAUAUUGUGGAGUUUAGUGUCAGUAUCAUCCUUUCCUACUCUUUUCAACAUGUAAUGCGACAUUAAAUUCAUAACCGCUCCACCAUCCAAUAAGAUUUUAUUCACUAUGAUGUUUUCCAUUUUGCCUCUAAUAAAUAAAGGUUUUAAGUGGUUCUUCAUUCCUUCGUCAGGACUUUAAAAAAAGGUCUUUUGCUCUUCCACGCAUCAAAUAUUCAUUACGUAGUAGCAAACUGGCAUAUGCUUGGCCAUUUCCUAAUCAAUUGCAUCCUUAGGUUAUUCUAUCUCCGUAACUUGGUUGUAUUCCCUGGGCAACACAAAUACCAUGUUACACGUGAUAUCCAAUGAUGGCUCUGAAUCUGCGUCGAAAUUAUCCGUCAGCAUAUCAUCUUUUUUUGCUGCUUGGUCAGACUUCUUUGCAGAUUCCACCUUUUGAGAGGAAAAGAGCUUCCUUUCGACAAACUUCUUCUCUUCAUUCAUGUCCAGUUUAAGGGGGACAUUACUACUUGAUUAUGCCUUUGCCAUUUCUCCAGCCUCUCGCUCAACCUUUCUUCUCAUCUGCUGUAUCCUCAACUAAGACCUUGACAUAAGGUUUUUCCCUCUGUAGUUUUCGGAGUGAUAUGCUAGUUGCUUUAAGGUUUGGAAUUACUUACGGUAUGCCAGUGAGGAACCUCUCUCUACUUCAAAGUUUUGCCACUUCUUAUGGCAUUGCUCCCCUCUUUCGACAAGCUUCACCCACUUACCCUCAGGGGCAUCGAUCGUAGGCUUGAAGGUGGAUAGUUUGUAGCCACGGGGGCCUGAUCUUCCUUGCUAUUGCUUCCUGGGUACCCCCUAUUGUCGAAGGCAAAACGAUUGUUGGUGUCUCUCCAGUUUCUCCUAUCUUGGCUAGUCGAACCCCUUCAUUUGAGAGUUCGACAUGUCUCCGAACUUUAGCCUUUUGUAUUUGAUAGCCUUCUGCACAAGACCCCUGAAGAGAAAACAUCGCGAAGUUUUAUGGCCCAAAAAAUUAUGAUACUUACAAAACCCCCUCUUUUUUAUUUGUUCUAAAGGAGAUAUUUUGUCACCAAUAGACACUAUCAUCUGGUCAUCUUUAACUAAUAAAUAGAAAAUCUCGUCACAUUUGGUGACGUCGAAGGUGUAUGUUUUCUUAGGGAAAACAUCACUCUUUUCUGGUUCGACUGGGUCUUUUCCAUUCGAAGGCGCUAGGACUUUGUAGGAGUAAGGUGGUCCUUGCUUCAGUUCAGCGAGGUCAACUUCACUUUCGUCGAAAUUUAAAGGACGACUAUACAUUUUUGGAUCAUUUUCAUCCAAUUCAACAUAGGCUACCCUUUCCCUCCUGUUAUUCUUAUUUGCCCUGCCUUUUUCAGUCUUCAGGCGCUUUACCUGUCAAACUCUAUCAGCCAACUAGACCAUGUCCCUUAGAUAUUGAGUAUCCAGUUUCUUCCUAAUAGAAUAAUCAAGGCCACCAGCGACCAUUUCGAUGAAUUCAUGCUCAGGCACUUGUGUAAAACAUCUGGCCUUAAGAAAAUGGAUUUUAUUCAAAUAAUCAUCUAUUGGCUCAAAUAAUUUUCAUUUAACACUGGCCAAUUUCUUCAAACUGAUGUCGGACUGUUCCAUGUAGAAUUGUUCAUAGAACAACCUUUCCAGUCGAGUCCAAUCAUGGAUUAAAUUUGCUAGCAGCGUGGUGAACCACGUAAAGGCAUUCUUUUUAAGGGAACUUGGUGUAGCACCUCAAAUUUGCACCUACUUCUUGUACAUACAUUCUCAUAUUAGGUCAUAACAUAACAUGGUCCACUGCAUAACAUUGCAUUGUCCCUUUGCCUCAAGUGCAAGCCAGUCAGAAGAAUCUAGACUUAGUCAAACUGGUCAGAGAUCAGUCAAUCAAGCAAGCAAGUGCAAUUUUCAUUGAGCCAAGGCCCUAGGGUUGAUCCAACAUGUUCACACGACCUUGGGAUCCAUUUGAAGUAGUUUGGCCAAAGAUGGAGUUCAGACAGUCAUCAGUCAAUGCACACGUUUACCAAACCCUAAAAGUCAACCUUGGUCAACUGGGCUUGAUUUUAUGAUUUGAUGGGAUUUGGUUUGAGAGGUUCAUUCAUGUCGCUAUAGGCUCAUAUAACAUGUCAAACACCAUCAUGGAAGAUUUGAAGUCGGCAAAAAGUUUCUAAAAAUGGCAGGUGACCUGUAAUUUUAACUGCCAAAUGGAAAGUCUUGAUCCUCAACUUACAUCAUGAUACAAGCUUCAAAUGAAUUUUGCCCAACAUGAAAGUUGAAGAUAUUGUUCUCCCAUUUCCAAAAGUCAAGAACACUCAAUUCCAUGUAUGGUUGGAAGUUAUGAUCAAAUCAUUUUCAGAAAUUCUUUGAACUUCAAAAGGCCAUAUCUCUCAAACCAUUUGGCCAAAUUGUGGUGGGUUUUUUGCAACAGUCACAUUUGAUCCCUCUUUCCAAAUAUGCACACAUCAUUCACCAAAACAUUCAAUCAAAUGGCAUUUUUGACUACCCAUGAUUUAUAAAGUGAGGAAAAAUGAGUUUCAAAAUUAACCACUUCAACCAAUUUACUACAAUCAAAUAUGUUCAGAAAUCAUAUUUGGACAUGUUCAAGGCCCAUUUUCGUGCAGUACAUACAACCCAUUACCAACUUGCUUGAAAUUGGCAAAAGGACACUUCUUCAACC